GGAUGUGAGGGCAAUCUGGCUGAGACAUCUGUCACCCCAUUGAUCGCCAGGGUUGAUUCGGCUGAUCUGUCUGGCUAGGCGGGUGUCCCCUUCCUCCCUCACCGCUCCAUGUGUGUCCCUCCUGAAGCUGCGCGCUCAGUCGAAGAGGACGACCACCCCUGAUAGAGGAGGACCGUUUCCUCGGUCAAGGGUAUAUGAGUAGCUGCGCUUCCCUGCUAGAACCUCCAAACAAGCUCUCAAGGAAUGAAAAAGGUAAAAUUACAAUGGACCCAGCAGAAAACUAGAGGAUUAUCAAUACCU
RNAcentral lists this small nuclear RNA (300 nucleotides) under Heterocephalus glaber (naked mole-rat). RNAcentral's name for it is "7SK RNA". It matches the Rfam family "7SK RNA". From Rfam's summary of the family: 7SK was discovered as an abundant small nuclear RNA in the mid-70s but a possible function has only recently been suggested. Two independent studies have found that 7SK RNA binds the CDK9/cyclin T complex (known as elongation factor P-TEFb). Lineage: Eukaryota; Metazoa; Chordata; Mammalia; Rodentia; Bathyergidae. The record is from Rfam by way of RNAcentral.